RNAcentral lists this ribosomal RNA (301 nucleotides) under uncultured bacterium. RNAcentral's name for it is "partial 16S ribosomal RNA". It matches the Rfam family "Bacterial small subunit ribosomal RNA", at positions 509 to 807 of the family's 1533-position model. The record is from RNAcentral.
CAGCAGCCGCGGGAAUACGAAGGGUGCAAGCGUUACUCGGAAUUACUGGGCGUAAAGCGUGCGUAGGUGGUGGUUUAAGUCCGUUGUGAAAGCCCUGGGCUCAACCUGGGAAUUGCGGUGGAUACUGGGUCACUAGAGUGUGGUAGAGGAUAGUGGAAUUUCCGGUGUAGCAGUGAAAUGCGUAGAGAUCGGAAGGAACAUCUGUGGCGAAGGCGACUAUCUGGGCCAACACUGACACUGAGGCACGAAAGCGUGGGGAGCAAACAGGAUUAGAUACCCCUGUAGUCCCUGUCUCUUAUAC